Felis catus (domestic cat) is the source of this 4135-nucleotide long non-coding RNA. RefSeq lists it as uncharacterized. NCBI's taxonomy places the organism in Eukaryota, Metazoa, Chordata, Mammalia, Carnivora, Felidae. The transcript is spliced from 2 exons. The record is from RefSeq and is a predicted model, not a curated record.
CCUGGGGCCCCGAGACCCCGGAACCUCGCCCCUCCCCCGCGACCCCGCAACCCCCAGCACCCCGUGACUUCAGCACCUCAAGGCCCCAGGUCCUCCCCGAUGGAUUCCGGGUGCCCGGUGCCCUUAGGAGGCGGCCUGCCUCCGGCCGCAGCGCCGUUGUCCCACUUGUAGGCGGUUACCUGACCACAGACGACACCGCCUUCCGCGGGUCCGCUGCUCACUAGGACCUGAAACGUGAAACAAACUGCGGCGUGUGGCAGUUUGCAGGGAACAGCCGAACGCCUCAGCAGUGUUUUCUUCUGAGGCUCCCCUCUGUGUGGCACCGAUCUAGGCUCUCAUGGUGCUUUAGAAAGUCUUGCUCGAUGCCCACCACAGCCCCGGGCUGCGGGCAGCAGGCCUAGAGAGGAUGUUUCAGGUUCUGGAGAACAAGGGAGCAGGGGAGGGGGGGCCUUACCCCCCCCCCCCCCCCCCCCCCCCGGAGCUUACAGUCAGCAGGUGGUCAAUGAUCGACUAUGCAAAUGCACAGCUGCCUAGCAGUGGUAAGUGCUAUGGAGGGAAGAUAAAGCUGAGUGAAAGCAGGGCGCUGUGGGAAGUCGGGUAUCUGGGCAGCGUGGUGGGGCAGGGGGGCCUCUGAGGGAUGAGCAGUAAGGACACACCUGAUGCCGGAGAGGGGGCGGAGGGAGGACCAGCCAGGCACUCACCUGCCAGAAUCCCGGACGUGGAGGUCUGAGAUGCCGCGCCGGCACCCAGGAGGUGCUGAGGGCGGCUGGUGCCGGGGACCUGGAGACGGGGCCGCAGAGUGACGAGGAAGGGAGCUGGCGGAGGGAGUCUGUCCUGGGCGGUCUUUACGGGAGGCCUGCUCCAUGCCCAGCACCGCAGGUCAAUGAUCUCCUCGAACCGGGGGACAGCUCGAGUGGUUUUAUUACCACCAUUUGAAGGAUGGGUGGACUGAAACUGGGGAAGGCACCCAAGGUCACACACCUGUCAGUGGAGAGGCGCUCGGAACCGGGGGGGGGGGUCCCCGGGGCAGCCACACUGUGCGCUGCCUGCAGAGGAAUGGCCAGAGAAGUAGCGUCUGGGAGAAGGCGGGGCCGUGGAGGUCAAGUCCUGAGAGCCGCUGAGCCUGCGCGCGGGGCAGGCACGGACUCGGCCCAGCUGGCACAGGUCGGGGCCAGUCGGGCGAGAAGCACCUGGCUGUUCUGUUCGAUCCCGUAGGCACGGGGAGUCGCAGCUGCUGCCGGGAGUGGGGAAUGGGCAGCAGGUGGGGCGGGGGGGGGGGUGGUCCCAGAGCCUGGAGGGGAGGAGGCACCUGCGGGCGGCUGGCCCCGGGCCGGGCUGCAAAAUCUAACUGCAAUCCACUGCCCUGCCGUUGCUGGAGCGUUUGCUGCAGGAAGCGGCCAGGAGCAGGAAGCACCCUCCCGCCUUGCGGGAGCACCCGUGUUCCGUGUUGAAGGGAGAGGCUGGCGCCGCGGGGCCGGGUCUGCAGAGCCCCAGCCCUGGAAUCACGAACACACACGAAGUUGGGUGUGAAAAUACCGGCGGAUAGCUCACUAAUGACCCGUGGUUUUGGUGCGAGUUUACUGGCUCAUUGGGCCACCGCAUAGACAUCAGGCCCAAAGGUUAAUGGCAUUGGGGAGCCUGGGUGGUUCGGGCAGUUAAAUGUCUGACUUCGGCUCAGGUCGUGAUCUCGUGGUCCAUGGUUCAAGUCCCCACGUCGGGCUCUGUGCUGACAGCUCGGAGCCUGGAGCCCGCUUCCGAUUCUGUCUCCCUCUCUCUCUGCCCCUCCCCUGCUCGCACUUUCUCUGUCUCUCAAAACAUGAAUAAACGUGAAAAAAAUUUAAAAUUCAAAGGUUAACGGCAUUUAGACCUACAAAAUUGGAGACCUAGAAAGGAGUUCAAGUACUAAUUUCAUAGCUUAAAAAAGUGUUUAUUGAGGUAAAACAUGAGGAACACCAAUUCUGAGUGAACUCAACGAGCUCUCUCAUUUCUAUUAUUCAGUGGCACGAAAGUAAACGUUCAGCUAGCUCGUUGGGGGGCACAAGGGCUGGCUCGUAGCGUUUGAUAAUUUCCGUGGUGUAAAUACUCCCCAAACGGUGGAAUUCCAAGCUGCCAACGCGACGUCACUGGGCAGCCGGGGGAGCCAGUUACGGUCGGACGGUCCACCCGCUGUACAGACGCCAUGGGUGGGGGUGGCCCAGGUAGCAGCGAGUGACGAGUCGAGUACUCACUACCUUUGUUUCCAAUGUAAUUUAGAGAAUUAAAAUUUUUACCGAUGGCUUUAGCAACGGGCUCACAAAAUUCCUGGAGGUGUGGCAGGCGGCUCUCACGAGCGGACCCCGCACACCAAUGUGAGGCCACACGGCCGCCGCCCCACUGGCUCGCGGUGCCUCGCUUUUGUCACUGUGCCUUAGUGCUGCCUGCUCACGCUUCCUACACGUGCCAGCCGACGGCGUUUAGCCUUUGCCGUGGCUCAGCCCGACGCCCCGAGAGGCGUCCGUGUGGCGGUCUCGAGCCGUGUUGUGUUCGGCGUGUGACUGCAGGGCGGGUCGCCGCUCGCCAUUCUACCGUCGGCGAAGAAUGACUCGGUUGGUUUCCGGAUUCUGGCAGUUGUGCACGCAGCCGGGACGCAGUCUGUCGUCUGCGGGGGGUGCGCCCGCUGGCUUUGGCACGCACCCCGCUUCACGAAGCGGCUUCGCCUGCACCGAGAGCUUGGCCGUGUGCCGGGGCCAUUCCCUCCCUCUCCGCGCACACACACCCCAAGCACCUUCCCAAGGGUGAUAUUUGACUGCUUCUUACAACAACGUUUCCAUUUGUGUAAACUGGCAUCUUAGGGUCUUACUAGUGAGAAAUGGUCGUCUUGAUCAAAACUGAAACUUGGGGCGCCUGGGUGGAUCAGUCGGUUAAGCGUCUGACUAUUGAUUUUGACUCAGGUCACGAUCUCAUAGUUUGGGAGUUCGAGCCCCACAUGGGGCUCUGCACGGACGGUGCAGUGCCUGCUUAGGAUUUACUCUCUCUCCCCCUCUCCCCUUCUAUUUCCCCAAAUAAAUCAAUUUUAAAAAACUUAAAGAAAAACAAACUGAGACUUAAAAAGCUACACGUUUCAGAAGGACGCUAACUAGCCAGCGGAGCUCACAGAGCUUAUUCUCACUCUUGCUCGUCAUUCGGCUAAAAUCCUGAAAUGUCCCGACUCUGUUAAGGUUGAGCUCAGGCUUACAGUUAGCAUCUUGCGGUGGCGGUGGGGUAAGGUGAAGGAAAGCAGGGUUCAAGCUUCAGUUACAACCGCAGGCAACCGCAAAACCCGAGAGAGGCCAGUUGUUUGGCUCCACGAGGGGACGGGGUCACGUGCCCAAACGCUGGAGAACCUUGACCAAAGAUGCGUCUGUGACAAAUGCACGUUUCUAUGAAACCCCAAGUCAGGACUGGCACCCUUCUUACGACGGCUGAAAUCGUAAACCCGGCCGGGCUCUGCAAAGGCGGGGGGGGGCUCUCACCGCAGCUGACGUGCACGAUGGCCUUUAAUGCACAGAACACUGUGAGGCAGGGGCCCCCAUUUUGCAGAUGAAGAAACAGGGCUUCUUGGAGGCGGAAGCCCCCCCCUGCUGAACUGUGAACCCAAGUCUGUCCAGGCUCCGCCCCUGGUGGGUGCGAGGGCCCACCCGCGAGGUGGCUACGGGCGUCGGUGGGCUUCCCCAGCUUCGCGGUCGGUGCCUGGGAGCCGGUGGAGGCUCCGCCGGCCCCUCUCCGUCCAGGGGCAGAUGUGACUCGUCCUCCCGUCCCUGGAGCUGCAAACACGCACACUCAGGGAACUCCCCGGGGCCCAGGCCAGGCCAGGAAAUCACAGGCACCGGUCCAUUGGCUUCUUCCCGGGAAAGGGCUACCGGGCACAGUGGGAGAAAACACACCUUCCCCAGGAACGGCCCCCUGGGGUCAGGCACCCCCCCCCCCCUCCGCCCCGUGCCAGGGAGCAGACAGUGGCUGGGUGUCCACCCGUCUGUCCCUCAGCAGUCACUCACAAGGACCACACAGAGCCCCGGGUCACUUCUGUAAUACAUAAUUUUAUUUCUGGUUAUAGAAACAAAUGCUAAGAGGAGAACCAGAACUUCCCCAUCCACAUACAACAAUUUAAUAGAUAAAA